Molecule: small nucleolar RNA, 136 nt
Filed under: Neogale vison (American mink)
Lineage: Eukaryota; Metazoa; Chordata; Mammalia; Carnivora; Mustelidae
Description: Neovison vison (American mink) Small nucleolar RNA SNORA31 (ENSNVIG00000013112.1)
Source: RNAcentral
AUGCAUCUGACAGACAUGCAGCUGUUACUGUCUGCUGCUAUGGUUUCCAUUAGAGAUGCAAGGGGGGAAAAAAAAAAAGCAUCCUCACACUUUCUUUCUGAUUGUGGCAGCCAAGACUGAAUGGUAGAAUAGAGGA